This is a long non-coding RNA of Ictalurus punctatus (channel catfish), 1551 nucleotides long. The record is from Ensembl. NCBI's taxonomy places the organism in Eukaryota, Metazoa, Chordata, Actinopteri, Siluriformes, Ictaluridae.
AUGCAUAUAAUCAGCUGCGCUGUGUGUGUGUGUGUGUGUGUGUGUUUAUGUUAAGCACCCAUGAAUAAGCAUUACGAACCAUCACAAAAUACUUUAGGGCGUUCAAACCCGAAAUCCCUUCUCCUGUGCGACGGGAGACACUUUACGCAAGAGACAUAAAAUAUAAACAAUGCACAUGCACAAAUAACUUUACAUGUUCUACUACUGCUCGGAACGUUUACACCAUCAAUAUUACUGUGCAAGAGAGCUUGCUGUGUAGCGUUCAGUUUUUACUGCAGGGGUGUCAAACAUGCUGCCUGAUAAAUCGCAUAAAUUCAAAUGAAUUUAUCAUCUGUGCUGUUAGUUCAAAUCAUCUUGUGGACUGAAACUGAAAGAUAAAAAAGCUAGCCUCUGCUACACCACUAGGGAGCAAAAUUGAGUAAUAAAUUCAGAGGCAUAAACUCGGUUACUAACCAAGCGUGGUAAUGUAAUGAUAUGUAAUCCCUCAUUAGCAAGCUAAAACUUUUACUCUGUAACCAUAUGUCUUUUUCAGGGGUGGAAAAUACCAGAGUAAUUGGACUUCAUUAGUAUACUUAAGUAUUUUUUGGGGUAUUUAUACUUUACUUGAGUAUUACUGAAAUUGCAUACUUCUACUCAUAUUUAACUGACUCCUUCAAUUUUUAUUUAAACCUUCAACAAACUGGUCCUUCCUUAGUAAAAAUGUUUGAAUAUGCUGGUGUGGGAAAGACUCAUAAAAUGAGGAUUCAUCUUUGCCUCUCUAGAAAGCAUGAACUUUCUACAUCAUGCUUUAAAUUUCAUUUGAAAAAGCAUGAUGAGGUAACGUAGCCUACUUUUCUUUGCUUAUACCAAGUUAGAAAAUCAUUGAUUCCAGUGGAGAAAAAACUGGCUAGAAGGCAAGGCAAAUGGUAAACAUUGGUUGUACUAUACUGGUUAAUUACAUGAUAUUUUACUUCUGAUUAAUUCAUUAACAAACUACGUAGCAUUAGUCAUGCAUGACCAGUAAACCUACUGAAAGUGAAUUAAGGGUUUUUUUUUUGGCAAAAUGGUAUAUUUGCUUAUUACAGUUUUUUAUAAGUAAUACAAGUAACUUUUGACAUGAAAACAUUAACAGUUUCAUCAGUAAAAAACUAAACACGUUUACUUUUUAAUUAAUCAAGUACAAUGAAAAGUAGCACUUUUUUUUAACGUUCACUUGAGUACAUUUGUGUUGGAAUACUUCGACAUUAUCUGCACUUUCACUGAAGUAUAAUUUCUCAGUACUUUUUCCACCCCUGCCAUUUCCAAAAUUUCACAAAAAGAAUAAUAAAAGCAGUCACACAUUGUUGUUUUUUUGUUGUUGUUGGUAAAUACCACUUAAGUCCAUGUCAAGUCCAGGUUGUAACCCUACGAAAUGAGGAAGAAUUGAAGCUGGUGAAUAAUUAUGUAAGGCACUGUGUGUAUGUAUAUGUUCAUGUGUGUGUGUGUGUGUGUGUGUGUGUAUAUACAUACACACACACACACACACACACACACACACACACACACACACACACACACACACACACACACAAG